RNAcentral lists this ribosomal RNA (467 nucleotides) under uncultured bacterium. RNAcentral describes it as "partial 16S ribosomal RNA". It matches the Rfam family "Bacterial small subunit ribosomal RNA", at positions 28 to 507 of the family's 1533-position model. The record is from RNAcentral.
GAUGAACGCUGGCGGCGUGCUUAACACAUGCAAGUCGAACGGAAAGGCCCAAGCUUGCUUGGGUACUCGAGUGGCGAACGGGUGAGUAACACGUGGGUGAUCUGCCCUGCACUUCGGGAUAAGCCUGGGAAACUGGGUCUAAUACCGGAUAGGACCACAUUUUGGAUGGUGUGGUGGAAAGUUUUUCGGUGUGGGAUGAGCUCGCGGCCUAUCAGCUUGUUGGUGGGGUAAUGGCCUACCAAGGCGUCGACGGGUAGCCGGCCUGAGAGGGUGUACGGCCACAUUGGGACUGAGAUACGGCCCAGACUCCUACGGGAGGCAGCAGUGGGGAAUAUUGCACAAUGGGCGCAAGCCUGAUGCAGCGACGCCGCGUGGGGGAUGACGGCCUUCGGGUUGUAAACUCCUUUCGCUAGGGACGAAACGUUUUUGUGACGGUACCUGGAGAAGAAGCACCGGCUAACUACGUG